UACAGAGGGUGCAAGCGUUAAUCGGAGUUACUGGGCGUAAAGGGCGCGUAGGGGGUUGGGGAAGUCGGCGGUGAAAGCCCGGAGCUCAACUCCGGGUCGGCCGUCGAGACUCCUCGGCUCGAGCUCACUAGAGGCAGAUGGAAUUCCGGGUGUAGCGGUGGAAUGCGUAGAUAUCGUAAGGAAGACCAGUGGCGAAGGCGGGUCUCUGGACAGUUCCUGACGCUGAGGCACGAAGGCCAGGGGAGCAAACGGG
This 253-nucleotide ribosomal RNA is filed under the name uncultured bacterium. RNAcentral's name for it is "partial 16S ribosomal RNA". It matches the Rfam family "Bacterial small subunit ribosomal RNA", at positions 524 to 776 of the family's 1533-position model. The record is from RNAcentral.